This 501-nucleotide ribosomal RNA is filed under the name uncultured bacterium. RNAcentral's name for it is "partial 16S ribosomal RNA". It matches the Rfam family "Bacterial small subunit ribosomal RNA", at positions 30 to 523 of the family's 1533-position model. The record is from RNAcentral.
AUUGAACGCUGGCGGCAGGCUCAACACAUGCAAGUCGAGCGGAGAUGAGGUGCUUGCACCUUAUCUUAGCGGCGGACGGGUGAGUAAUGCUUAGGAAUCUGCCUAUUAGUGGGGGACAACAUUCCGAAAGGAAUGCUAAUACCGCAUACGUCCUACGGGAGAAAGCAGGGGAGCUUCGGACCUUGCGCUAAUAGAUGAGCCUAAGUCUGAUUAGCUAGUUGGUGGGGGAAAGGCCUACCAAGGCGACGAUCUGUAGCGGGUCUGAGAGGAUGAUCCGCCACACUGGGACUGAGACACGGCCCAGACUCCUACGGGAGGCAGCAGUGGGGAAUAUUGGACAAUGGGGGGAACCCUGAUCCAGCCAUGCCGCGUGUGUGAAGAAGGCCUUAUGGUUGUAAAGCACUUUAAGCGAGGAGGAGGCUACUGAGACUAAUACUCUUGGAUAGUGGACGUUACUCGCAGAAUAAGCACCGGCUAACUCUGUGCCAGCCGCCGCGGUAA